RNAcentral lists this ribosomal RNA (484 nucleotides) under uncultured bacterium. Its description in RNAcentral is "bacterial SSU rRNA". It matches the Rfam family "Bacterial small subunit ribosomal RNA", at positions 31 to 507 of the family's 1533-position model. The record is from RNAcentral.
GAACGCUGGCGGCAUGCCUAACACAUGCAAGUCGAACGGUAACGCGGAGAGCUUGCUCUCUGGCGACGAGUGGCGGACGGGUGAGUAAUACUUAGGAAUCUGCCCAGUAUGGGGGACAACAUUCGGAAACGGAUGCUAAUACCGCAUACGCACUACGGUGGAAAGUGGGGGAUCUUCGGACCUCACGCUAUUGGAUGAGCCUAAGUCGGAUUAGCUUGUUGGUGAGGUAAUGGCUCACCAAGGCGACGAUCUGUAGCUGGUCUGAGAGGACGAUCAGCCACACUGGGACUGAGACACGGCCCAGACUCCUACGGGAGGCAGCAGUGGGGAAUAUUGGACAAUGGGCGCAAGCCUGAUCCAGCAAUGCCGCGUGUGUGAAGAAGGCCUGCGGGUUGUAAAGCACUUUCAGUAGAGAAGAAAAGCCCAGGGUUAAUACCCCUGAGUCUUGACGUAACCUACAGAAGAAGCACCGGCUAACUCCGUG